AGGCAAGUCUCGAUUCCGUCAUCCUGCUAUCAGGGGCGCCAAUGAUCCAUGGCGGGUCGAGAAGAUCUCAAGGAGUGUCGAUCUGCUUCCCAUUCUUUUUUCGGCUCAAUUGUUACAAUGCCAAGGGGCCAAAAUCAGCAACAAGGGCGCCCUCAACCAUCCAAUGAGGUUCCAAAAUUAUUCAGCAAGGGGUAUCAAGUACAAAGCAUGAAG
Molecule: long non-coding RNA, 213 nt
Organism: Panicum virgatum (switchgrass)
Lineage: Eukaryota; Viridiplantae; Streptophyta; Magnoliopsida; Poales; Poaceae
Exons: 3
Source: RefSeq, a predicted model, not a curated record